AGAGUUUGAUUCUGGCUCAGGAUGAACGCUAGCGACAGGCUUAACACAUGCAAGUCGAGGGGCAGCAUAGAAGUAGCAAUACUUUGGUGGCGACCGGCGCACGGUGAGUAACGCGUAUGCAACCUACCUAUCAGAGGGGAAUAACCCGGCGAAAGUCGGACUAAUACCGCAUAAAACAGGGGCACCGCAUGGUGAUAUUUGUUAAAGAAAUUCGCUGAUAGAUGGGCAUGCGUUCCAUUAGGUAGUUGGUGAGGUAACGGCUCACCAAGCCGACGAUGGAUAGGGGAACUGAGAGGUUGGUCCCCCACACUGGUACUGAGACACGGACCAGACUCCUACGGGAGGCAGCAGUGAGGAAUAUUGGUCAGUGGGCGGGAGCCUGAACCAGCCAAGUCGCGUGAAGGAAGAAGGAUCUAUGGUUCGUAAACUUCUUUUGCAGGGGAAUAAAGUGCAGGACGUGUCCUGUUUUGUAUGUACCCUGAGAAUAAGGAUCGGCUAACUCCGUGCCAGCCGCGGC
RNAcentral lists this ribosomal RNA (517 nucleotides) under uncultured bacterium. Its description in RNAcentral is "bacterial SSU rRNA". It matches the Rfam family "Bacterial small subunit ribosomal RNA", at positions 8 to 518 of the family's 1533-position model. The record is from RNAcentral.